Molecule: ribosomal RNA, 484 nt
Filed under: uncultured bacterium
Lineage: Bacteria
Description: partial 16S ribosomal RNA
Rfam family: Bacterial small subunit ribosomal RNA
Source: RNAcentral
AUUGAACGCUGGCGGCAUGCUUUACACAUGCAAGUCGAACGGCAGCGCGGGCUUCGGCCUGGCGGCGAGUGGCGAAAGGGUGAGUAAUGCAUCGGAACGUGCCCAGUAGUGGGGGAUAGCCCGGCGAAAGCCGGAUUAAUACCGCAUACGACCUGAGGGUGCAAGCGGGGGACCGAAAGGCCUCGCGCUCUUGGAGCGGCCGAUGUCGGAUUAGCUAGUUGGUGGGGUAAAGGCUUACCAAGGCGACGAUCCGUAGCUGGUCUGAGAGGACGACCAGCCACACUGGGACUGAGACACGGCCCAGACUCCUACGGGAGGCAGCAGUGGGGAAUUUUGGACAAUGGGGGCAACCCUGAUCCAGCCAUGCCGCGUGCGGGAAGAAGGCCUUCGGGUUGUAAACCGCUUUUGUUCGGGAAGAAAUCCUCUGGGCUAAUACCCCGGGGGGAUGACGGUACCGGAAGAAUAAGCACCGGCUAACUACGUG